Molecule: ribosomal RNA, 438 nt
Filed under: uncultured Bacillota bacterium
Lineage: Bacteria; Bacillati; Bacillota
Description: bacterial SSU rRNA
Rfam family: Bacterial small subunit ribosomal RNA
Source: RNAcentral
GGGCCCGCACAAGCGGUGGAUUAUGUGGUUUAAUUCGAAGCAACGCGAAGAACCUUACCAGGUCUUGACAUAUCGGGCAAAACCCUAGAGAUAGGGCAAUAGUUAUGCCGAAUACAGGUGGUGCAUGGUUGUCGUCAGCUCGUGUCGUGAGAUGUUGGGUUAAGUCCCGCAACGAGCGUCAACCCUUGUCUUCAGUUACCAUCAUUUAGUUGGGGACUCUGGAGAGACUGCCGGUGACAAACCGGAGGAAGGUGGGGAUGACGUCAAAUCAUCAUGCCCCUUAUGACCUGGGCUACACACGUAAUACAAUGGCGUAUACAGAGGGACGCGAAGCAGUGAUGUGGAGCAAAUCCCACAAAGUACGUCUCAGUUCGGAUUGUAGUCUGCAACUCGACUACAUGAAGUUGGAAUCGCUAGUAAUCGCGGAUCAGCAUGCCG